Non-coding RNA from Podarcis lilfordi (Lilford's wall lizard), 72 nucleotides. The record is from the annotation of a GenBank genome assembly. Lineage: Eukaryota; Metazoa; Chordata; Lepidosauria; Squamata; Lacertidae.
GCAUCAUAGCUCAGUUGGAAAAGCAUGAAACUCUUAAUCUCAAGGUUGUGAGUUUGAGCCCCAUGUUGGGCA